This 249-nucleotide ribosomal RNA is filed under the name uncultured bacterium. RNAcentral describes it as "partial 16S ribosomal RNA". It matches the Rfam family "Bacterial small subunit ribosomal RNA", at positions 524 to 771 of the family's 1533-position model. The record is from RNAcentral.
UACGUAGGGUGCGAGCGUUAAUCGGAAUUACUGGGCGUAAAGCGUGCGCAGGCGGUUCGUUGUGUCGGCGGUGAAAGCCCCGGGCUUAACCUGGGAAUGGCCGUUGAAACUGGCGAACUGGAGUGUGGCAGAGGGGGGUGGAAUUCCGCGUGUAGCAGUGAAAUGCGUAGAGAUGCGGAGGAACACCGAUGGCGAAGGCAGCCCCCCUGGGCUAACACUGACGCUCAGGCACGAAAGCGUGGGGAGCAA